Molecule: long non-coding RNA, 608 nt
Filed under: Brassica napus (rape)
Lineage: Eukaryota; Viridiplantae; Streptophyta; Magnoliopsida; Brassicales; Brassicaceae
Description: long non-coding RNA (BNAP_LNC005572)
Source: RNAcentral
UUAAACCUUAGCACAAAAACAAACUCCAUGAUGAAAUGAAUUUGGAUGUUAUGCUGCGGUACAUAGUGAUGAUAAUCAUAUAAAUAAGAUAUUUUUCAUUUCAUCCAAAACCUAUUUUGUUUUCAUUAUCAAAAAAAAAUUCUCACCCAUUCCAUCCAUAUCUUUCUCUUUUUACUACAUUAAAGUCUGAACAUGCCUUAUAGGUAGAUAUGUGUAUGUGACCAUUUAAUUCUGUUUCAUUAAUGGUUGUCAGGUGACCUUAAGUUUCUUUUUAAGAUAUCUAGAAGCUUUGAUUCCGAUUUCUUUUUGGAAAAGAAAAUAUAGUUGUGAUAUUAAUGACGACUAUGAAUCCAUGACAUCACUGAUGAUUAUAGAGUCACGUGUUAUGAAAGUCAAUAAUACUGCCAAUAUCAACUAUUCAACCUAAUUGUAUUGUUAAGGUUUGAUUUCAUAAAUUUAAAUGACGAAACAAUAGAGACGGGAAAAAGUACCGACGUGGUCUUGCUAUUUAUGGAACUUAAUUUAAUUUGAUUGAUAGGAGUAUAAGAACAUGAUUAAUGGAAUUCUUAUGGCAUCUCCAUCUUUACUCCAUUUUUUCUUCUAAAUUG